AGUUAGUUAUAGAUCCAAAACAAAAGGACUUGCGCUGUCGGCUCAACAGUUGUACCGGAGUCUACCGGAAGUUCCACCCAUAAUUCACGCAAAGGCUCAUGGGGGCUAGGAAUACCGUCACAUAUUUCCCACCAUGCACUGCGGCUCAAAAUGCAUAUUUGGUCAAGAAAAAAACCUUACAUAGUUAUAUUUACGUUUCUUCAUAUUUUAUUUACAAUAUAUAGUAUGUCAUUCAUGUUUGCCAAAGCACCCUGAAAUAAAAAAGUGCACCGGAAGUGAAACCAUGAGUUAACACAUAGGGCUGAUACACCCACUAUAAAUACCGAUCAGCGACAAAUCCGUCUCUGAGAGUUGGCAUGUUGACGGGCAUCCUGGUGGAGGAGGGGUCGGACCGGCACAUAUGCGUCUCGUGCUAAGAAGCCCGCGGGGGGCUCCGUUGUUUACCGGUGAGACAGACGGAGCGGAGGAGAGGUACAGAGAGCGGAGCGGUCGAAAGGAGUUUUUAUAACGCCGGAAAAAAAAUAAGAAAAAUGCCUGCAAGACGAUCAUCGUGUGAAAUAUAACCUUCAUGGAGGUUCAGAGAAGACUUUGGGACCGAAGGAGCAACAAGAAGGAGUCAUUUUUGGCGAGAAAAGUGUCCUGUGGGCUGCAGCUGAUGAUGCUGGAGGACCAGAGAUGAGAAAACGUGAGGAUGCUGGAGGUGCUGGUGAUGUGGUCAGAGAUCAAAGCUGCUCAUCACAUCAACAACAGUGGAAGAGAUGCAGAACCAUGUGAUGGAGAUCCUCAUCCACUGAGAUUCAACCCCAGACGGAUCCCAGGUGUCUAACCAUCUCUAAAUACAGAAAACCAUCACCAGGUGAAAUCUUUUCCCACUGAUGCUGCAAAGUCUGCACCAAGAGCACUUCCUGGAAGUUUGGGACCUGUGACUGUCACUGGUAGCAUCACCAAGACCUUUGAGGAGCCAAAGAGGACAGAACUGCCCUGUGUGACCAAAAACGCCUGUAGAUAUUUGGCAUUUUAUGCACUGUUUUUUUGCACUAUUAGAGGGAAAUAUACAGAAAUGUUGUUGUAAAUUGUUUGACAUUGGAUAAAUGUAAUCUUUUAACAAACAAAAUCUGUUGUUCAUGUACAUUUGCACUGUUUUUCUCACUAAAAACUCUAAAAAUCACA
Molecule: long non-coding RNA, 1170 nt
Organism: Oryzias melastigma (Indian medaka)
Lineage: Eukaryota; Metazoa; Chordata; Actinopteri; Beloniformes; Adrianichthyidae
Exons: 3
Source: RefSeq, a predicted model, not a curated record